This 305-nucleotide ribosomal RNA is filed under the name uncultured bacterium. RNAcentral's name for it is "bacterial SSU rRNA". It matches the Rfam family "Bacterial small subunit ribosomal RNA", at positions 333 to 652 of the family's 1533-position model. The record is from RNAcentral.
UUUGCCCUACGGGACGCAGCAGUGGGGAAUAUUGCACAAUGGGGGGAACCCUGAUGCAGCAACGCCGCGUGAAGGAAGAAGUAAUUCGUUAUGUAAACUUCUAUCAACGGGGAAGAAAGAGAUGACGGUACCCGAGUAAGAAGCCCCGGCUAAUUACGUGCCAGCAGCCGCGGUAAUACGUAAGGGGCGAGCGUUAUCCGGAAUUACUGGGUGUAAAGGGUGAGUAGGCGGCUGGGCAAGUCAUAUGUGAAAUACCGGGGCUCAACUUCGGGGCUGCAUAAGAAACUGUCCAGCUAGAGUGCAGG